CAACACACAUGAUAGGGGCAUGCAGAAUCUAAUAUCCACUACUGGAAAGAAGUAGAUACCUCGUCAGAUAUCUCCAGGAUAUCUCCAUCUGAAUCACUGUCGGCCGUCGCUACAGCAGCCACCGUCCGAUUUUUGAGUUGAGGGCAAUCUCUGGCUAAAUGCUCCAACUCCUCACACCGGUAACACCUGGUUUUGCUCAAGUCCCUCCUGGACUUAGACCACCCUCGUUGCAAUCUCCUGUCGCUCUGUCUACCGCCUCUUGCUCCUCCAAAAGCCACC
RNAcentral lists this long non-coding RNA (279 nucleotides) under Elaeis guineensis (African oil palm). Its description in RNAcentral is "long non-coding RNA (EGUI_LNC072400)". Lineage: Eukaryota; Viridiplantae; Streptophyta; Magnoliopsida; Arecales; Arecaceae. The record is from RNAcentral.